Molecule: long non-coding RNA, 1532 nt
Organism: Polyodon spathula (Mississippi paddlefish)
Lineage: Eukaryota; Metazoa; Chordata; Actinopteri; Acipenseriformes; Polyodontidae
Exons: 2
Source: RefSeq, a predicted model, not a curated record
GGGUAGGAUUCAUAUACAGUACUAUAUUAUUUUUCUUUGUAUAAACAUGCACUAGCAUUUCAGGACCAAAAUUACUUGUGUUGCUUGCAUAAAAAUUGCACUCACAAACUAUGGUUACUGAAACAAAGCAAUAGCACAAGCAGCAGAGUUAACAGCAACAUUGACACAGCUUUGGCAAAAAGCUUAGGAGGCAGCAUUCUGUAGUCAUAUGAAAGACAAGAAGCAUACUACCACAUAAUUUGGAGGUUUACAGUUUAGAUCUGAUUCUAGACCUAUCUUAAAAUAAUACUUAACUACCAUGUCCACUCUACUUAACAACAGCCUAGAGACUGACUGACGUGAGCAUUGUCUGGAUAUGCUGGAUAAACAUGCCCUUAUUCUCAUUGGCAACAGUUGGACUUUUUGGGCGGUGGUAUUCAGACUAUAAAAGGAAGGGAGGAUAGGAUAUGGAAAAUCAAUGUACAAACACGAUAUCCCAUCACAUUCUAUACAUCAUGCACAAUGACUGCUGUGGGAGCCGUCCAUUGGGUGUUACACAACUCCAAAUAAAAGACCCUGGAAGUUACAUGGCAGUUGAUUUCCAUGGCCUACUCCCUAAAACCUGCAAUGAUGGAAAAGCAACAUUUUAAUAUUGCUCAACCACCUUUUAAGGAGAAGAUUGCACUAAAUAUCCUAGGAACACUAUAGUUGUUGAAGUUGACAUGUGUAAUUGUUUAGGCUGUAUAACUGGGUGGAAAAAGUCAUCAUAUCAGCUACACCAUACAGCACAUCAAAUGCCAUUUAUCAGCAAGUUGACUAGAAGUGUGUGGUCACUUCACGACUGACAUUUUUUUGUUUUGUUUUGUUUUUAAACACAUUUGAGAAUUUGGUUGUUAAUAAAUAAAUAUAUAUAUGGUGUGCUACAAAUAUCCAUUUUAAUGUAUGUAUUGAUAUAUUUUCUGAUUCCUUAAAUAGAGCACACAAAUAAUAUUAACAGAAAUGAAGAUGUAUUGGUCUUUUGGUUUAUUUGGUGACAUCGGCUCUGGUCAAUGUUUGGUUUUGUUCCUCCAUUUUCUUUAAAAAGCACAAAUACAGUACAUAUUUAGUUCAAAAUCUCUGUGUUGUAAUCACCACAAGGCGGCAGUCAGUCUUCUUAACGCAUUACACAUGGUUUCAGCAGAGGUGUACAACUCCAGUCUUCAGGGGCUAUUGUUUAUUUGAAAUAGGACUCGGGUGUUGGGUUGAAAUCAUAUGGCCAAUAGUAAGCAAAGGUGUGCGCAGACAUGCAUUAAUAACCCCAUAAUAGGUACUUGUAUUUUGCAAAAUAACGCAUAUUGAGCUGGUGCAAAACUAACUAGUAUUCAGCAAAUCAAUUCGUGUCUAUGCUCUGGGAUCACACUAAACAAAUGGGGGAAGACAGGGCUUGCACCAUGACGCAGCUUCCAGGUACCAAAUCUCUCCCAAGUUCCAGAAAAUAAGGUUACAAUUUUGAUUAUAUUUUGUAAUGCACUGUUUGUGCUAACUUUAAAAAAAAAAAAAACAUUUCAGUGGCC